Molecule: ribosomal RNA, 798 nt
Filed under: uncultured bacterium
Lineage: Bacteria
Description: bacterial SSU rRNA
Rfam family: Bacterial small subunit ribosomal RNA
Source: RNAcentral
AGAGAAAGCUUGCUUUUUCUAGGCGUCGACCGGCGCACGGGUGAGUAACGCGUAUCCAACCUGCCCUUGUCCAUCGGAUAACCCGUCGAAAGGCGGCCUAACACGAUAUGCAGUUCUCAGCAGGCAUCUAACGAGAACGAAAUGUGAAGGAGAAGGAUGGGGAUGCGUCUGAUUAGCUUGUUGGCGGGGUAACGGCCCACCAAGGCGACGAUCAGUAGGGGCUCUGAGAGGAAGGUCCCCCACAUUGGAACUGAGACACGGUCCAAACUCCUACGGGAGGCAGCAGUGAGGAAUAUUGGUCAAUGGGCGAGAGCCUGAACCAGCCAAGUAGCGUGCAGGAAGACGGCCCUAUGGGUUGUAAACUGCUUUAUGCGGGGAUAAAGUGAGCCACGUGUGGCUUAUUGCAGGUACCGCAUGAAUAAGGACCGGCUAAUUCCGUGCCAGCAGCCGCGGUAAUACGGAAGGUCCGGGCGUUAUCCGGAUUUAUUGGGUUUAAAGGGAGCGUAGGCCGUCUGGUAAGCGUGUUGUGAAAUGUCGGGGCUCAACCUGGGCAUUGCAGCGCGAACUGUCAGACUUGAGUGCGCGGGAAGUAGGCGGAAUUCGUCGUGUAGCGGUGAAAUGCUUAGAUAUGACGAAGAACUCCGAUUGCGAAGGCAGCCUGCUGUAGCGCAACUGACGCUGAAGCUCGAAAGCGUGGGUAUCGAACAGGAUUAGAUACCCUGGUAGUCCACGCGGUAAACGAUGGAUGCUCGCUGUUUGCGUCUGACGUAAGCGGCCAAGCGAAAGCGUUAAGCAUCC